AGGAUAAACGCUGGCGGCGUGCCUAACACAUGCAAGUCGAACGCGCUUUCGGGCUUCGGUGCGAGAGCGAGUGGCGGACGGGUGAGUAACACAUGGGUACCUACCUUGGAGUGAGGGAUACCGGCGAGAAAUCGCCGACAAUACCGCAUAGGCUUCUUCACAAGGGAAGCAAAGUGACGCGAGUCACGCUGUGAGAUGGGCCUGUGGCCGAUUAGCUAGUUGGGGGGUAACGGCUUCCCAAGGCGACGAUCGGUAGCUGGUCUGAGAGGACGAUCAGCCACACUGGGAUUGAGAACGGCCCAGACUCCUACGGGGGCAGCAGUGAGGAAUUUUCCGCAAUGGAGGCAACUCUGACGGAGCAACGCCGCGUGCAGGAGGAAGGUUUUCGGAUCGUAAACUGCUUUUCUCGGGGACGAGCAAGGACGGUACCCGAGGAAGAAGCCCGGCUAACUACGCGCCAGCAGCCGC
RNAcentral lists this ribosomal RNA (468 nucleotides) under uncultured bacterium. RNAcentral's name for it is "SSU rRNA". It matches the Rfam family "Bacterial small subunit ribosomal RNA", at positions 26 to 518 of the family's 1533-position model. The record is from RNAcentral.